GAUGAACGCUGGCGGCGUGCUUAAUACAUGCAAGUCGAACGGAAAGGCUCCUGCUUGCAGGGGUACUCGAGUGGCGAACGGGUGAGUAACACGUGGGUGAUCUGCCCUGUACUUCGGGAUAAGCUUGGGAAACUGGGUCUAAUACCGGAUAGGACAACUUUUUGGAUAUUGUUGUGGAAAGCUUUUGCGGUAUGGGAUGAGCUCGCGGCCUAUCAGCUUGUUGGUGGGGUAAUGGCCUACCAAGGCGUCGACGGGUAGCCGGCCUGAGAGGGUGUACGGCCACAUUGGGACUGAGAUACGGCCCAGACUCCUACGGGAGGCAGCAGUGGGGAAUAUUGCACAAUGGGCGCAAGCCUGAUGCAGCGACGCCGCGUGGGGGAUGAAGGCCUUCGGGUUGUAAACUCCUUUCGCUAGGGACGAAGCUUUUUUGUGACGGUACCUGGAGAAGAAGCACCGGCUAACUACGUG
Molecule: ribosomal RNA, 468 nt
Filed under: uncultured bacterium
Lineage: Bacteria
Description: partial 16S ribosomal RNA
Rfam family: Bacterial small subunit ribosomal RNA
Source: RNAcentral